UGUGUUUUAUUCUUUUUUUUAUUAUUUUUUUUACAGAGUGAAGAUCUUUCUGUUACUGGAUCUCAGCACCAUCAGCUGGGAUUGCUUAAAGAGAUGCCAUGGCUCUGGGAACGGGGUGUGUGCGCCAAAAAAGCACCAAGGAGGAACUGGAGCCUUGGCAGGACCGGGAGGGUGCCCAGAGAAGCUCUGCAAGCAGAAUGAGUGCCUUCACCCCUCUGUCAUCACCAGCCCCUGAGAGCAAUCACCACCCACCAACAGUUCCUGGAGAUAAGGCCGAGCCAGCUGGGAGAAGAAAGCCUUUGAUAUUCCCUGCCUUGCUGAGGCCUGGGCAGAGGAGGUGGAACUCAGCUGUGGAGUCCCCCUGAUCCUUCCACAGGUAUCAGCACAGGAUAAUCACAUUUCCAAGGCAAUAACAAGCACUCCCCAAGAGCAUCUGGCUAAGAAGGCUCAGAAGCAAUGACAAGACUGUGGUGAAAAGUUUGGUCCACCAACCCAACUUCUGGACGUGGGAAGGAAGAGACACCUUUUGAUAAAACAUCAAGCACUGUAUAUUUUAUUCUUUUGUUUGUCUGUGCUCCCCUUCUGAUCACCCUUUGACUUAUUAUUUCUCAAAAAGAUAUAUAGGAGAGAAAUCAUGUUUAUUCAGGGAGAACCAUAAUUUUUACGUUUAAAAGGCACCAGCUUUGUUUUAAGCCCCACAAACACACCGAGAGCUCCAAAGUUUGUGGUGCAGUUUUCUGCAGCACAGAUUUAUUCCAUUUUACAGUACCCAUGCUCUGGGGUAACAGGUAGGCCCAAUACCAGCAGUGGGAGAAGCAGACCUGGAAGAUGCUUUGGGUACAGCCCAGCCAGGUUUUAUUCAGCCUGCAAAGUCUGGCCUCGCUCUACAAACCGGUCUGCUGUUGCCAUCUGCUGGAAAAAUCCCUAAUGGAUAUUUCCAAACAUGGGGAGGAGUAUCUGCUCCUGUUACAGAAAUGCUGGGGGCUUUUUGUGCUUUUUAAGGCAGCUUUUUCCCCCUCUAGGUCCGUGUGAUCUGCCAAAGAACAAUGUGUGCACCAGGCUGUUACCACCCUCUGCACAGUGAAACACCUUCAGCCAAGGCCAGUGUAUGAGCAAAACAAUUCUUCCAACAAAAGCCUGCUACUAGAGAGGCAAAAAAUUCAUCCUGCCAAAGGAAAUCAUCCUUCCUCUCUCUCACAGCUCUCCUGUUUCAUCACACCAUUUUGGUUUGGGUUGGAAGGGACCUGGUUCCAAACCCCUGUCCUGGACACCUUCCCCUCGAGCAGGUGGCUUUGCUGUGCCCCCAGAUCUGUCACCUGAGCUGAGCAAUCCCCAUCCACACAUGUUCACACAGAGACCACACAA
RNAcentral lists this long non-coding RNA (1365 nucleotides) under Parus major (Great Tit). RNAcentral's name for it is "lncRNA (ENSPMJG00000000859.1)". The record is from RNAcentral. Lineage: Eukaryota; Metazoa; Chordata; Aves; Passeriformes; Paridae.